CCGUGUGGAGCAGCAGCAGCCCCUGACGGAGGAUGGCAGCGCUGCCUUCUGCUGCCGCCCGGCCGUGAGCGCAGCGCUGCUGAGCGGCGCCCGUCGGAGCGCUGUCCUGGUCCGGCUCGCCUCCUCCUCGGCCGAGCUCAGCCCGCAGCGUUUCAAUGCGGGGUUCGGCAUUACGGCGGCGCCCGCGGCACGGAGCAGCCCGGCCGCUUCCUAUGGGAUGCGUCUGCAUAAAGGAAGAAUCCUUCUAAGAUGGGGAACAAGCAGACGAUAUUCACCGAUGAGCAGCUGGACGCCUACCAGGAUUGCACAUUCUUCACUCGGAAAGAAAUCCUUCGGUAAGUGAGUUAAAUUAAGUUCUUCUCUAUAAUUCCUGUGGAAAAAGUUGAAUCUUUCUUGCUGACUAAUGAGGAAGUUUUGGAUAACAGGGUGAGUAUAGGAUUGGACUCAGGAUACAUGCAGCAUAUGUGGAUGUAUGUAAGGAGAAAUAUGUCAGGUCGAUGUCCAUCCCAUGGGUUUUUCUAGGGAUCGGUAGAGGCUGUGACUGUACGAGAGGAAUGUACUGCUUUUCUGCUCAGGUAUUAAGUGAGGGCUCCUGUGGGUGUUGGUAUGGGGUAAACUGGUGGAACGUAACAUAAACACGGAGAUGUGUCAUUUGGUUUGUUUCUGUGGGAACAGUCAUUAAGGCUGGGAUCGCAGUUAAGCAGUACUGGGUCUCACUGCUUGAAGUACAUCACAUUGCUUUGUUUCAGUUGUGGUGGGCUGAGUCAAACCAAACUCAUUCCUGUCUGUCUGUGCUGACUUCUUGCCCUGGAGCCUGCCAUAUAAUCUUGAUCUUCUAACAUUCAGAUUAGGAUCUGUGCAAGUUCCACGUAGGUCUUUUCCUGUCAGUCCACUCGUGUUUUUGUUUUCCCUGAGGAUUUUUGCCCUAACAAGGAGGGAGGAUACAUCUGUGGUUUGUGUCUGGACGUCAGAGCUCACAGUGUUCCAGGACUCUCAGAUUUGAACAGUUUCUGAGAUGUGAGAGGUAUCAGGGAAACAGCUUUUGUUUUCAUAAACACUGGGAACUUCUCUCAAGUCAAAAACAGAUGUGGUCUCUGUGAGCAAUGCUCUCUGCCUCAGUUCUGUUGGCAUAAACCUCAGUAAGACACUCAGUAAUUCUGUCAAGGCAAAAAGUAACGGUAUGGUAUUAGAUGGGAUAAUUUAUUUUUCAGUGGUAUUUGAGCUGACUUCUUGCUCACAAAGAAGCACCCUCUCCUGGUCAGUGGAUAAUGGCUCUGAGACCAGUGUGCAGUAGGGACAUAGCAAUGCCAGGGCUGAGUUUGGUCCAGGUACCUUUUAUCUAAUUGUUAUGGUUCAAAAUUAAGUGCAGUGUUGUUUCACAUCAAGUUAUAAUGUGACUGAACCAGCCAGAGCUUGUGUGGUGGGCCUAAACGUGAGCUUAGUGCAGGCUGGCCUCACUGGAGAGGCUGGUCUUAAAGUAAGUCAAGGCUUCAUAAGUGUAGGUAACUGUACCAUGGAGGUGGCAGGAAUGACAGACAAUUGUUAGCUAUAAAGAGGUAUCAUGCUGUGUUUUUGUACCCUACAAAAGGCCUGCAGCUCAAAUAACCAGAGUGGCCAUUGUAUGUUCUGUCAGGGCUGUAAUGUUAAGGAACACCGGCUUUGACAACAGCAGAAUUUGUCAUCGUAGUUGUCUGACAGCAGUUGUCAGUGGUAUUCCUGUAGUGUCAUUAGAUGCAGUAGUUGGAUACUGAAUAAACAAUGUUCACACGUAGCCA
Long non-coding RNA from Coturnix japonica (Japanese quail), 1775 nucleotides. The record is from Ensembl. NCBI's taxonomy places the organism in Eukaryota, Metazoa, Chordata, Aves, Galliformes, Phasianidae.